CCUACGGGAGGCACCAGUGGGGAAUAUUGCACGAUGGGCGCAAGCCUGAUGCAGCCAUGCCGCGUGUAUGAAGAAGGCCUUCGGGUUGUAAAGUACUUUCAGCGGGGAGGAAGGUGUUGUGGUUAAUAACCGCAGCAAUUGACGUUACCCGCAGAAGAAGCACCGGCUAACUCCGUGCCAGCAGCCGCGGUAAUACGGAGGGUGCAAGCGUUAAUCGGAAUAACUGGGCGUAAAGCGCACGCAGGCGGUUUGUCAAGUCGGAUGUGAAAUCCCCGGGCUCAACCUGGGAACUGCAUUCGAAACUGGCAGGCUAGAGUCUUGUAGAGGGGGGUAGAAUUCCAGGUGCAGCGGUGAAAUGCGUAGAGAUCUGGAGGAAUACCGGUGGCGAAGGCGGCCCCUUGGACAAAGACUGACGCUCAGGUGCGAAAGCGUGGGGAGCAAACAGGAUUAGAUACCCGGGUAGUC
Molecule: ribosomal RNA, 465 nt
Filed under: uncultured bacterium
Lineage: Bacteria
Description: bacterial SSU rRNA
Rfam family: Bacterial small subunit ribosomal RNA
Source: RNAcentral